This 29-nucleotide small RNA is filed under the name Bombyx mori (domestic silkworm). Its description in RNAcentral is "ovarian small RNA-23155". The record is from RNAcentral. Lineage: Eukaryota; Metazoa; Arthropoda; Insecta; Lepidoptera; Bombycidae.
UAGUUGAAAACACAGUUCUUAUAUCGGUA